RNAcentral lists this non-coding RNA (21 nucleotides) under Arabidopsis thaliana (thale cress). The record is from RNAcentral. Lineage: Eukaryota; Viridiplantae; Streptophyta; Magnoliopsida; Brassicales; Brassicaceae.
UGAGUUUAGGGUUAAAUGAGU